UACGUAGGGGGCUAGCGUUGUCCGGAUUUAUUGGGCGUAAAGAGCGUGUAGGCGGCCAGGUAGGUCCGCUGUGAAAGUCCGAGGCUCAACCUCGGAAUGUCGGCGGAAACCCUCUGGCUAGAGUCCGGAAGAGGAGAGUGGAAUUCCCGGUGUAGCGGUGAAAUGCGCAGAUAUCAGGAGGAACACCGGUGGCGAAGGCGGGUCUCUGGGCCGUAACUGACGCUGAGGAGCGAAAGCAUGGGGAGCAAACAGG
This 253-nucleotide ribosomal RNA is filed under the name uncultured bacterium. Its description in RNAcentral is "partial 16S ribosomal RNA". It matches the Rfam family "Bacterial small subunit ribosomal RNA", at positions 524 to 776 of the family's 1533-position model. The record is from RNAcentral.